Molecule: ribosomal RNA, 465 nt
Filed under: Vreelandella stevensii
Lineage: Bacteria; Pseudomonadati; Pseudomonadota; Gammaproteobacteria; Oceanospirillales; Halomonadaceae
Description: partial 16S ribosomal RNA
Rfam family: Bacterial small subunit ribosomal RNA
Source: RNAcentral
CCUACGGGGGGCAGCAGUGGGGAAUAUUGGACAAUGGGCGAAAGCCUGAUCCAGCCAUGCCGCGUGUGUGAAGAAGGCCUCCGGGUUGUAAAGCACUUUCAGUGGGGAAGAAAGCCUUGGGGCUAAUACCCUCGAGGAAGGACAUCACCCACAGAAGAAGCACCGGCUAACUCCGUGCCAGCAGCCGCGGUAAUACGGAGGGUGCGAGCGUUAAUCGGAAUUACUGGGCGUAAAGCGCGCGUAGGCGGUCUGAUAAGCCGGUUGUGAAAGCCCCGGGCUCAACCUGGGAACGGCAUCCGGAACUGUCAGGCUAGAGUGCAGGAGAGGAAGGUAGAAUUCCCGGUGUAGCGGUGAAAUGCGUAGAGAUCGGGAGGAAUACCAGUGGCGAAGGCGGCCUUCUGGACUGACACUGACGCUGAGGUGCGAAAGCGUGGGUAGCAAACAGGAUUAGAUACCCGAGUAGUC